GAUCAUGGCUCAGGAUGAACGCUGGCGGCGUGCUUAACACAUGCAAGUCGAACGGAGCACCCCUGACGGAGUUUUCGGACAACGAAAGGGAAUGCUUAGUGGCGGACGGGUGAGUAACGCGUGAGUAACCUGCCUUGGAGUGGGGAAUAACAGCCGGAAACGGCUGCUAAUACCGCAUGAUGUAUCUGGAUCGCAUGGUUCUGGAUACCAAAGAUUUAUCGCUUCAAGAUGG
Molecule: ribosomal RNA, 232 nt
Filed under: uncultured bacterium
Lineage: Bacteria
Description: partial 16S ribosomal RNA
Rfam family: Bacterial small subunit ribosomal RNA
Source: RNAcentral